GUGAGUGAUGGAGGAGGAUAUAUACUGCUGUGUACUCGACCAGCGGGCGAGAGCAUGUCUGGUAAAUGCCAGUCGCGGAAAGUUCCUAAUAUGGUGGUAAAUUCUCCCUCGGCUGGCACUGCUCUCCAGCCCGGAUGUUGAUUGGUUAAGUCUUGAACUGCCUCCCAACAUGCAGUGAGGAACGUGGAAAGCUCCCUGAAUUGGCACAUGAUGAUGGUGAUUAUGAUGCAUGGACUGGCUUGGAGUGAGGCUCCUUUACUCUGCAAAAGG
Procambarus clarkii (red swamp crayfish) is the source of this 270-nucleotide non-coding RNA. The record is from RefSeq and is a predicted model, not a curated record. Lineage: Eukaryota; Metazoa; Arthropoda; Malacostraca; Decapoda; Cambaridae.